UGGGGAAUAUUGGGCAAUGGGGGAAACCCUGACCCAGCAACGCCGCGUGAGGGAAGAAGGUUUUCGGAUUGUAAACCUCUGUCCUUGGUGAAGAAAGAGAUGACGGUAGCCAAGGAGGAAGCCCCGGCUAACUACGUGCCAGCAGCCGCGGUAAUACGUAGGGGGCGAGCGUUGUCCGGAAUGACUGGGCGUAAAGGGCGUGUAGGCGGCCGAUUAAGUCCGGAGUGAAAGUCCUGCUUUCAAGGUGGGAAUUGCUUUGGAAACUGGUUGGCUUGAGUGCGGAAGAGGUAAGUGGAAUUCCCAGUGUAGCGGUGAAAUGCGUAGAGAUUGGGAGGAACACCAGUGGCGAAGGCGACUUACUGGGCCGUAACUGACGCUGAGGCGCGAAAGCGUGGGGAGCGAACAGG
Molecule: ribosomal RNA, 407 nt
Filed under: uncultured prokaryote
Also listed under: 1 other name
Description: bacterial SSU rRNA
Rfam family: Bacterial small subunit ribosomal RNA
Source: RNAcentral